This 253-nucleotide ribosomal RNA is filed under the name uncultured bacterium. RNAcentral's name for it is "partial 16S ribosomal RNA". It matches the Rfam family "Bacterial small subunit ribosomal RNA", at positions 524 to 776 of the family's 1533-position model. The record is from RNAcentral.
UACGUAGGGACCAAGCGUUGUUCGGAUUUACUGGGCGUAAAGGGCGCGUAGGCGGCUUAACAAGUCACUUGUGAAAUCUCUGGGCUUAACCCAGAACGGCCAAGCGAAACUGUUAUGCUAGAGUGCAGAAGGGGCAAUCGGAAUUCUUGGUGUAGCGGUGAAAUGCGUAGAUAUCAAGAGGAACACCUGAGGUGAAGACGGGUUGCUGGGCUGACACUGACGCUGAGGCGCGAAAGCCAGGGGAGCAAACGGG